Molecule: ribosomal RNA, 437 nt
Filed under: uncultured bacterium
Lineage: Bacteria
Description: partial 16S ribosomal RNA
Rfam family: Bacterial small subunit ribosomal RNA
Source: RNAcentral
AGCGAACGCUGGCGGCAGGCUUAACACAUGCAAGUCGAGCGGGCAUCCUUGUGGUGUCAGCGGCAGACGGGUGAGUAACGCGUGGGAACGUGCCCUUCGGUUCGGAAUAACUCAGGGAAACUUGAGCUAAUACCGGAUACGUGUGAGAGCAGAAAGGUUUAUCUGCCGAAGGAUCGGCCCGCGUCUGAUUAGCUAGUUGGUGAGGUUAUGGCUCACCAAGGCGACGAUCAGUAGCUGGUCUGAGAGGAUGAUCAGCCACACUGGGACUGAGACACGGCCCAGACUCCUACGGGAGGCAGCAGUGGGGAAUAUUGGACAAUGGGGGCAACCCUGAUCCAGCCAUGCCGCGUGAGUGAUGACGGCCUUAGGGUUGUAAAGCUCUUUUCUCCGGGACGAUAAUGACGGUACCGGAGGAAUAAGCCCCGGCUAACUUCGUG